Molecule: ribosomal RNA, 257 nt
Filed under: uncultured Longispora sp.
Lineage: Bacteria; Bacillati; Actinomycetota; Actinomycetes; Micromonosporales; Micromonosporaceae
Description: partial 16S ribosomal RNA
Rfam family: Bacterial small subunit ribosomal RNA
Source: RNAcentral
ACUGUGCUAGGCUACCAGGCGACGACGGGUAGCCGGCCUGAGAGGGCGACCGGCCACACUGGGACUGAGACACGGCCCAGACUCCUACGGGAGGCAGCAGUGGGGAAUAUUGCGCAAUGGGCGGAAGCCUGACGCAGCGACGCCGCGUGAGGGAUGACGGCCUUCGGGUUGUAAACCUCUUUCAGCAGGGACGAAGCGCAAGUGACGGUACCUGCAGAAGAAGCACCGGCCAACUACGUGCCAGCAGCCGCGGCCGA